This 63-nucleotide small RNA is filed under the name uncultured Planococcus sp. RNAcentral describes it as "Bacillaceae-1 RNA". It matches the Rfam family "Bacillaceae-1 RNA". The record is from RNAcentral. Lineage: Bacteria; Bacillati; Bacillota; Bacilli; Caryophanales; Caryophanaceae.
UAAGGAAGGUAACCUAAAACCGCGGCUUCCUGCCGCAACGGUUACCUGACCCACAUCCUGCGG